GACGAACGCUGGCGGCGUGCUUAACACAUGCCAGUCGAACGGAAAGGCCCUGCUUUUGUGGGGUGCUCGAGUGGCGAACGGGUGAGUAACACGUGAGUAACCUGCCCUUGACUUUGGGAUAACUUCAGGAAACUGGGGCUAAUACCGGAUAGGAGCUCCUGCUGCAUGGUGGGGGUUGGAAAGUUUCGGCGGUUGGGGAUGGACUCGCGGCUUAUCAGCUUGUUGGUGGGGUAGUGGCUUACCAAGGCUUUGACGGGUAGCCGGCCUGAGAGGGUGACCGGCCACAUUGGGACUGAGAUACGGCCCAGACUCCUACGGGAGGCAGCAGUGGGGAAUAUUGCACAAUGGGUGGAAGCCUGAUGCAGCAACGCCGUGUGCGGGAUGACGGCCUUCGGGUUGUAAACCGCUUUCGCUCAUGACGAAGCUUUGUGUGACGGUAGUGGGUAAAGAAGCACCGGCUAACUACGUG
RNAcentral lists this ribosomal RNA (469 nucleotides) under uncultured bacterium. RNAcentral describes it as "partial 16S ribosomal RNA". It matches the Rfam family "Bacterial small subunit ribosomal RNA", at positions 28 to 507 of the family's 1533-position model. The record is from RNAcentral.